GGGGUUAUAGCUCAAUGGUAGAGCACUUACCUAGUAUGUGUGGGGCACUGGGUUCAAUCCUUAGCACCA
Molecule: transfer RNA, 69 nt
Filed under: Marmota monax (woodchuck)
Lineage: Eukaryota; Metazoa; Chordata; Mammalia; Rodentia; Sciuridae
Also listed under: 2 other names
Rfam family: tRNA
About the family: Transfer RNA (tRNA) molecules are approximately 80 nucleotides in length.
Source: Rfam by way of RNAcentral